Molecule: long non-coding RNA, 114 nt
Filed under: Ictidomys tridecemlineatus (thirteen-lined ground squirrel)
Lineage: Eukaryota; Metazoa; Chordata; Mammalia; Rodentia; Sciuridae
Description: lncRNA (ENSSTOG00000031852.1)
Source: RNAcentral
ACCUGGAAAGCCCACUUCUAAGAGUCAUAUACUGAAAGCAAUAAUAUGAGGAAAUCAGAAAGACAUAUCAAUCGUCUGAAGAGGACUCUACAUGACCCUGUAAGAAUAGCUCCA